AGCAGCAGCCGCGGGAAUACGUAGGUGGCAAGCGUUGUCCGGAAUUAUUGGGCGUAAAGGGCUCGCAGGCGGUUUCUUAAGUCUGAUGUGAAAGCCCCCGGCUCAACCGGGGAGGGUCAUUGGAAACUGGGAAACUUGAGUGCAAGAGGGGAGAGUGGAAUUCCAUGUGUAGCGGUGAAAUGCGUAGAGAUGUGGAGGAACACCAGCGGCGAAGGCGACUCUCUGGUCUGUAACUGACGCUGAGGAGCGAAAGCGUGGGGAGCGAACAGGAUUAGAUACCCCUGUAGUCCCUGUCUCUUAUAC
RNAcentral lists this ribosomal RNA (303 nucleotides) under uncultured bacterium. RNAcentral's name for it is "partial 16S ribosomal RNA". It matches the Rfam family "Bacterial small subunit ribosomal RNA", at positions 507 to 807 of the family's 1533-position model. The record is from RNAcentral.